This 1268-nucleotide ribosomal RNA is filed under the name activated sludge metagenome. RNAcentral's name for it is "bacterial LSU rRNA". It matches the Rfam family "Bacterial large subunit ribosomal RNA", at positions 1096 to 2448 of the family's 2925-position model. The record is from RNAcentral.
GGAGGUUGGCUUAGAAGCAGCCACCCUUGAAAGAGUGCGUAAUAGCUCACUGGUCGAGUGGUUCUGCGCUGACAAUCCAACGGGGCUCAAGCCCGUCACCGAGGCUGUGGGAGUAGGCGAUGCCUACUCGGUAGGGGAGCGUUCUGGUCAGCGGCGAAGGGGUAUCGAAAGACGCCCUGGAGCGGCCAGAAGAGAGAAUGUCGGCAUGAGUAGCGUUUAAUGCGUGAGAAUCGCAUUCGCCGAAACCCUCAGGUUUCCGACGCAAGGUUCGUCCGCGUCGGGUUAGUCGGGCCUAAGGCGCAGCCGCAAGGCGAGGCCGAUGGACAACGGGUUAAUAAUCCCGUACCGCACCAGGGGAGCCAACUGGGGACGCAGUGACGUAGGCCAGCCCACGAAUGGUUGAGUGGGUGCGCAAGCGAGCCUUCGGGCGGAAGUGGCUGGGCGUGACUGCCAAGAAAAGCCGUGUUGGCGAUGAAGCUGGUGUGCCCGUACCGCAUACCGACACUGGUAGGGAGGUCGAGUAGACCGAGGCGAACGGGAGAACUCUGGUUAAGGAACUCGGCAACAUGCACGCGUAACUUCGGGAGAAGCGUGACCGUGGCGACACGGUGGCACAGAAGAGGCCCUACCGACUGUUUACCAAAAACACAGGUCUCUGCGAAGGUGAAAACCGACGUAUAGGGGCUGACGCCUGCCCAGUGCCGGAAGGUUAAGGGGAGAGGUGCGAGCUUUGAACCGAAGCCCCGGUGAACGGCGGCCGUAACUAUAACGGUCCUAAGGUAGCGAAAUUCCUUGUCGGGUAAGUUCCGACCCGCACGAAAGGCGUAACGAGUGGGGCGCUGUCUCAACCAGAGACCCGGCGAAGUUGAGGUGGCCGUGAAGACGCGGCCAACCCGCAGCAGGACAAAAAGACCCCGUGGAGCUUUACUACAGCUUGGCAUCGGGUUAGGGCAUUGUUUGCGUAGGAUAGGUGGGAGGCAAUGAAGUUGGGGUUGCGGCCUCGACGGAGCCAGCGUUGAAAUACCACCCUGACGGUGUUUUGGCCCUAACGGCGCGAGAGAACGCGCUGGACGGCGCCAGGUGGGUAGUUUGACUGGGGCGGUCGCCUCCUAAAAGGUAACGGAGGCGCCCAAGGGUUCCCUUAGGGUGAAUGGAAACCACCCGUCAAGUGCAAAGGCAUAAGGGAGCUUGACUGCGAGACCUACAAGUCGAGCAGGGACGAAAGUCGGGCUUAGUGAUCCCACGGUACCGAGUGGAAGGGCCGUGGC